RNAcentral lists this ribosomal RNA (194 nucleotides) under uncultured Lactobacillus sp. RNAcentral's name for it is "partial 16S ribosomal RNA". It matches the Rfam family "Bacterial small subunit ribosomal RNA", at positions 338 to 524 of the family's 1533-position model. The record is from RNAcentral. Lineage: Bacteria; Bacillati; Bacillota; Bacilli; Lactobacillales; Lactobacillaceae.
CCUACGGGAGGCAGCAGUAGGGAAUCCUCCACAAUGGACGAAAGUCUGAUGGAGCAACGCCGCGUGAGUGAAGAAGGUUUUCGGAUCGUAAAGCUCUGUUGUUGGUGAAGAAAGAUAGUGAGAGUAACUGCUCAUUAUUUGCCGGUAAUCAACCAGAAAGUCACGGCUAACUACGUGCCAGCAGCCGCGGUAAU